CCUCUGGUAGCUCAGUUGGUAGAGCAUGAGACUGUAAUUUGGUUAACUAUGUAAUCUCAGCGUCACCUGUUCGAUCCAGGUCUAGAGGA
Molecule: transfer RNA, 89 nt
Organism: Exidia glandulosa HHB12029
Lineage: Eukaryota; Fungi; Basidiomycota; Agaricomycetes; Auriculariales; Exidiaceae
Rfam family: tRNA
About the family: Transfer RNA (tRNA) molecules are approximately 80 nucleotides in length. Their secondary structure includes four short double-helical elements and three loops (D, anti-codon, and T loops).
Source: Rfam